GGUGAACGCUUGGCUUGGCCAAACCGCUACAUUUUAAAUUUUAAAAUUUAAACACCCCGCUAUGACAUGGCCACCAAGCGAAUAGGAGCCCGCCACAUAUGAUCGCUAGCCCACCCCACGCUCGGCUAUAAACUCCCGCCCCUUGGGCCACGCCCCAACCCAAGCCCACCCGGGGUGGUGGCUUGGGCGUUUUCAGCCAACCCACGCUCCAACCCAAGCCCCAUACCCCACAGUCUUAGGUACAAGUAAGUUAAGCACCAUGCUUUUCAUAUGUAUUCUCUAGCUAUAACUCUCAGACACUAAUUCUUGGUUGUUUCUCAUCUCUCUCUUUCUCUCCUCUCAUUAUUUAGACUUGCACAAUGUUUGCAAGCUCUCUUCUUCCAUCCGAUGACCCCAACCUUUCAAGUUAUCAUGUGGAUCCGAGAGCUUUUGACAAUGGUAAAUGGCCGCUGCCAUGCUCCGACAGCGGCGUCUGGGCCGUUGUCGCGCAAAAGAAGCCAGGUUACAACAGUGGUGGUGGUUCAAGCUUAAGAUCGGACGAGAACAGGUUCUGUGGCGGCAACAACGGUUUCACAACGGCGAUGGUUGAGGGUUUUAGUGGUCAGAACCCGCAACGGCGGUUCUUGGUGGUUGGUGGCGUCGCUACGGUAGUGCGAGGGUGGUGGCUAGGUGAUUGAUGGCGGUGGCAAUUUGUGAUGGUGGUAACCGGUGUUGUGUUGGUGCUUAUAGCACUAUGAGAGAGAGAGAGCAAUAAUCAAGAGAGAGAGGUAGAGAUGUAAUCACACGUCUUUUGAAAACCAUAUUCAAAAGAAAGAGCUACCUUUCCUCAUUUCUAUAUUGUAUAAGUUUGACCAGUACUUUUUUUUUCUUUUUUCAUUAAAAUAAAUAAAAUUGUUUUUUAACGGCAUAAAUAAAAUUAUUUCACAAUUGAUAUCAAUACAAA
Helianthus annuus (common sunflower) is the source of this 943-nucleotide long non-coding RNA. RefSeq lists it as uncharacterized. The record is from RefSeq and is a predicted model, not a curated record. Lineage: Eukaryota; Viridiplantae; Streptophyta; Magnoliopsida; Asterales; Asteraceae. The transcript is spliced from 2 exons.